AAUCAUCUACUAUAACAGAGGUGUUUCUAAGUCUCAUACUAAGUCAUUACCUCAAACAAGGGAGAAGAAUGUGAUUCUUUCACUUAGAAAGAAGCAGACUCUUUAUUCUUCUCUUACUCAAGAGAUUCUUGACUUGAAAUUAGAGAAAAUGAAGCAUGGCCAGCUUAAGAAAAGAUCAAAAAAAGAAGAAAGUGGUGUGCUUGUAAUAUUGAGAUGAAUUUGUGAAUUUGUGAAUUUAAUGAAAGAGGCAAAUUUGUACAAUGAUUAUUGAUUAAUGAAAGAGGCUAUAAAAAUUUUAUUUUGUGAA
Non-coding RNA from Arachis ipaensis, 307 nucleotides. Lineage: Eukaryota; Viridiplantae; Streptophyta; Magnoliopsida; Fabales; Fabaceae. The record is from RefSeq and is a predicted model, not a curated record.